AAUAUAAUUUAACUAUGACAAUGGGUUGCCC
Molecule: transfer RNA, 31 nt
Filed under: Chrysanthemum lavandulifolium
Lineage: Eukaryota; Viridiplantae; Streptophyta; Magnoliopsida; Asterales; Asteraceae
Description: partial tRNA-Lys
Source: RNAcentral